UCUGUUCGCUGUCACUGAUGGGCUCAAAAGCACCAACUGGAGGAGUACUGCUUCCAGAAUCCGUCAUUCACCAUGAAGCCUGUGGGUUGAAUACCUCCCCCAAAGAUGCGGCUGCCUGCAAGCUGUGAAUGUCUAUGUGCAUACAGAGGUGUCUGGGAUGACGUUCCGCGAAUGUUGACAGUGGCACGGCGCUGGCCCCUGGACCGACCCCGCCAGCUCCAGCCAUGGGGCGAUACAGCACAUCGCAGACCUUCAGUCCAGAGGGAAGGCGCUCUUCGUAUCCUUGCAUCCAUAUAGGAUACUAUGAUUUCUUUGAGCUGAGAUGUUCUUCUUCCUUAAAAUCCCCUCCACUAGGGUUCAUUAGGCUUCAGGCUUUGGAAAACAAUGUGGGGACCUUUCCUUUCCUCCUUCCCCCUUCUUGAAAGUGAAGGGGAUGGGGAAGGGCGGUUCCUGGUGGCAGGUGUGUUUUGUCUCCCUAGGUUUUCAGUCCCCGGGGGUCAGGACUGGCUGUCCACUCCGAGGGGAAGAAAAUAGUGGGCCAGAAUGAAGAGUGGCAGCCACGCGGCAUGGCACCUGGGGUCCAGCCGUGGUGGGGUGUCAGGCCGAGGGGGGCGCCGCUCGUGUGGUUAGUGCAGACUGCCUAAUUCUUCCUCAGAUGGUGCUGAGGAAAACGCUGCCCAGAAAGAUCCUCACAGGGAGGUGGAGGGGACACGUCAACACAGGAGGCCAGCCACAUUCUGAGAAGAGCGGAAAAGAGAAUUGGGAAACUCCCUAACGGCCCACUACAGAAAAGAGGGAUUUGCUUUUCUUAACGCCACAGAAUUGCAUCCGGAAAACACUAAUUUUUUAAUUCAGAUUUAUUUAUGAUCACAAAGGAAAAGCAUGUUGAUUUCUCGUUCUCUGGUUCUUACCAGACUAAAAUCAGAAGCCAGCCACGGAGGAAAACAAAGGCAUUUUGACAUUCAUCACUGCUUGUGGAGGACCCCACAAGAUCCUAGGCAUGGCCAGCACUACGGAGAAAAGCAGAAGACAAAGAAAUUCUGAAGAGCCAUUCCAGAUUAAAGGAGACUAAAGAGAUAUAACAACAAAAUGUAAUGUGUCAUCCUGGACUGGCUUCUUGUCAAGACAGAAGUAUUGCUAUAUAUAGUAUUGGGACAACUAGUGAAAUAUGACCCAUGUUUUGUUAACAGUACUGUAUCAGUGUUAAAUUUUCUGUAUUUCAUAAUUAUAUACAGUUAUGUAAAAGACUACCCUAGUUUCUAAGAGAGAGAAACAUUUUAUGGUCAAAGUUCAUGAUAUUUGCAACUUAUUCUCAAAAGGUUGAGGAAAAAUUACAUAUGAAAUACAUGUGUGUUUGUAGGUGUGUACGUAUACAGAGAGAGAAAGAGAGACAGAGACAGAGCCAGAAAUGUAGCAAAAUGUUAACUAACAAUUGGUGAAUCUAAAUGAAAAGCACAUAAAAAUUUAUUGUACUAUUCUUACAAUUUUUGUAUAGAUUUGAAAUUCGUUCAAAAUAAAAAGUAAAAAAUAAAAUGAGUCAGAUAUACCUUAAGAAUAGUAAAUGCGUGGGGAAGUACACAUAAUCCUCAAAAAAGAAAAUUUUCUAGCUGAGCUCUUGUUGCUGGAGUCAGUCUUAGUCUGUCAGAGAAAGUGUGCAAUAUGAAAAGAAUGGUUCAUAGUAUCAUUUAGGAAUGUUUUUGACUUCA
Mirounga angustirostris (Northern elephant seal) is the source of this 1706-nucleotide long non-coding RNA. RefSeq lists it as uncharacterized. The record is from RefSeq and is a predicted model, not a curated record. The transcript has 5 exons. Lineage: Eukaryota; Metazoa; Chordata; Mammalia; Carnivora; Phocidae.